AGCCUGAUGCAGCCAUGCCGCGUGUGUGAAGAAGGCCUUCGGGUUGUAAAGACAGCAGGGGAAGGCGUGGUGGUUAAUACCCACCACGUUUGACGUUAGCUGCAGAAGAAGCACCGGCUAACUCCGUGCCAGCAGCCGCGGUAAUACGGAGGGUGCGAGCGUUAAUCGGAAUUACUGGGCGUAAAGCGCAUGCAGGCGGUUUGUUAAGCAAGAUGUGAAAGCCCCGGGCUCAACCUGGGAACCGCAUUUUGAACUGGCAGGCUAGAGUCUUGUAGAGGGGGGUAGAAUUUCAGGUGUAGCGGUGAAAUGCGUAGAGAUCUGAAGGAAUACCGGUGGCGAAGGCGGCCCCCUGGACAAAGACUGACGCUCAGAUGCGAAAGCGUGGGGAGCAAACAGGAUUAGUACCCUGGUAGUCCACGCUGUAAACGAUGUCUACUUUCGGUCUUGAACUGUGGCUUCGAGCUACGCGUUAAGUAGACCGCCUGG
This 486-nucleotide ribosomal RNA is filed under the name Vibrio sp. 2WS43. RNAcentral's name for it is "bacterial SSU rRNA". It matches the Rfam family "Bacterial small subunit ribosomal RNA", at positions 380 to 876 of the family's 1533-position model. The record is from RNAcentral. Lineage: Bacteria; Pseudomonadati; Pseudomonadota; Gammaproteobacteria; Vibrionales; Vibrionaceae.